GCCAGGUGUGGUUGCUCACAUCUGUAAUCCCAGCAUUUUGGGAGGCUGAGGCAGGAGGAUCGCUUGAGCCUAGGAGUUUGAGACUAGCCUGGGCAACAUAGUGAGACCCCUGUCUCUACAAAAAAAUUUUUAAUAAAUUAGGUAUAGGGGUGUGCCUCUGUGGUUCCAGCUACUCAGGAGGCUGAGGUGGGAGGAUUACUUAAGCCUGAGAGGUGGAGGCUGCAGUGAGCUAUGAUCAUGCCAUUGCGCUUUAGCCUGGGUGACAGAGUGAGACCCUGUCUCU
RNAcentral lists this small RNA (283 nucleotides) under Pongo abelii (Sumatran orangutan). The record is from RNAcentral. Lineage: Eukaryota; Metazoa; Chordata; Mammalia; Primates; Hominidae.